RNAcentral lists this ribosomal RNA (254 nucleotides) under uncultured bacterium. Its description in RNAcentral is "partial 16S ribosomal RNA". It matches the Rfam family "Bacterial small subunit ribosomal RNA", at positions 524 to 776 of the family's 1533-position model. The record is from RNAcentral.
UACGUAGGGGGCGAGCGUUGUCCGGAUUUAUUGGGCGUAAAGAGCUCGUAGGCGGUUGGGUAAGUCGGGUGUGAAAACUCAGGGCUCAACUCUGAGACGCCACUCGAUACUGCCCUGACUCGAGUCCGGUAGGGGAGCGUGGAAUUCCACGUGUAGCGGUGAAAUGCGUAGAGAUGUGGAGGAACACCAGUGGCGAAGGCGACUCUUUGGCCUGUAACUGACACUGAGGCGCGAAAGCGUGGGGAGCAAACAGG